GGACAUUUCUAGGUCAUUUCUUUUCUUUAUAGGCUCUCAAUGGUUCUCCACUGUUCUCAGGGGCAAAUAUAAGACCAUUGAAGAGGAAGAACCCAGCAAGCUGUCUUGUCUAAAGUCAUCAGCACCAACUGGGAAGCUGAGCUGAGCUGGACUCACAGGUCACCUGUCUAUAAAACCUGAGCAUUGAGCAGUUCACCACCCAGACGGGGGAACCCCCCUGAAUAAGGAAACAUCAAGCCAGCCCCAAACUCGGGCUUCUGGCCAGACCUUGGAUUGGAGUCAGUAGAAGUAUAUAGUACCAUCUACAAGGAGUUCUCUGCUCUACCUGAACAAAAAAGAAAAAUGGUAGAAAGAAAAAAGAAAAUCCCAUUUGCUUAUUGUAUGCACUAAGCCAUCUGAAAGAAAAGUUCUCUUUGACCUUACUUCACCCAUGACCCUGAAUGCACAGACAGCACAUGAAGGACAGUAUAAGAGCAAGUCUUCCUCUUCCAUGGAUUUACCUCUCCCUGAAGAAGCACACGCAGCCUCCUGAAUCCACUGAGGAUAUGCAUAGAGGAGCAAGGCCUCUGGAGUUGCAGCAAGAGUUGGUUCCUGACUAGGAAGCCUUUGCACCCUAGCCUACUGCUGCUGCUCCUUGUAGUAAGCUCCUGGGCAAACAACUGGGUGUGUUCAGAAUGGAAACGGCAGCCAUGCAGAUUCCAGACCUGGCCUGGUCUUUGGCACCCUCUAGAGGAAUAUUUCAUUCUCAUACCUGUGCUUUGAGUAACCAAAUCCUCUACCAUGUACACUGUUGGCUUCGUGAACUCUUCAGACUUACUGUUCAUCUCCACUGGCAGAUGUCUGCAGCAUCGAAAGAUUGGCAAUGACUCCCUCUCGUGUCAGCACGAUGUCACCUGCUCAAGUCCCCAAUCUCUGCCUUGUCCUUUCAGACCCAGCCAGGCCCUGAAUCUGAAGGACUUGGACCUCCCAUGGUUCUCGGUUUCCCUCUUGGCCUCACCUCAUUUAUUUAGCUCCCCAGCCUUCAGCCUGAACCCCACAUGGGGCCAGCUUUGGUUCCUUAAUGGAGGCUUGCCUUUCUCAAGGGAGGCAUUUUCCUGAGGGCUAGACCAUGUUUCUUCUUUCUGA
Long non-coding RNA from Dipodomys spectabilis (banner-tailed kangaroo rat), 1125 nucleotides. RefSeq lists it as uncharacterized. NCBI's taxonomy places the organism in Eukaryota, Metazoa, Chordata, Mammalia, Rodentia, Heteromyidae. The transcript is spliced from 4 exons. The record is from RefSeq and is a predicted model, not a curated record.